This 497-nucleotide ribosomal RNA is filed under the name uncultured bacterium. RNAcentral's name for it is "partial 16S ribosomal RNA". It matches the Rfam family "Bacterial small subunit ribosomal RNA", at positions 28 to 507 of the family's 1533-position model. The record is from RNAcentral.
GACGAACGCUGGCGGCGUGCCUAAUACAUGCAAGUUGAGCGCUGAAGGUUGGUACUUGUACCAACUGGAUGAGCAGCGAACGGGUGAGUAACGCGUGGGGAAUCUGCCUUUGAGCAGGGGACAACAUUUGGAAACGAAUGCUAAUACCGCAUAAAAACUUUAAACACAAGUUUUAAGUUUGAAAGAUGCAAUUGCAUCACUCAAAGAUGAUCCCGCGUUGUAUUAGCUAGUUGGUGAGGUAAAGGCUCACCAAGGCGAUGAUACAUAGCCGACCUGAGAGGGCGAUCGGCCACAUUGGGACUGAGACACGGCCCAAACUCCUACGGGAGGCAGCAGUAGGGAAUCUUCGGCAAUGGACGAAAGUCUGACCGAGCAACGCCGCGUGAGUGAAGAAGGUUUUCGGAUCGUAAAACUCUGUUGGUAGAGAAGAACGUUGGUGAGAGUGGAAAGCUCAUCAAGUGACGGUAACUACCCAGAAAGGGACGGCUAACUACGUG